RNAcentral lists this ribosomal RNA (497 nucleotides) under uncultured bacterium. RNAcentral describes it as "partial 16S ribosomal RNA". It matches the Rfam family "Bacterial small subunit ribosomal RNA", at positions 28 to 507 of the family's 1533-position model. The record is from RNAcentral.
GAUGAACGCUGGCGGCGUGCCUAAUACAUGCAAGUCGAGCGAACGGACGAGAAGCUUGCUUUUCUGAUGUUAGCGGCGGACGGGUGAGUAACACGUGGAUAACCUACCUAUAAGACUGGGAUAACUUCGGGAAACCGGAGCUAAUACCGGAUAAUAUUUUGAACCGCAUGGUUCAAAAGUGAAAGACGGUCUUGCUGUCACUUAUAGAUGGAUCCGCGCUGCAUUAGCUAGUUGGUAAGGUAACGGCUUACCAAGGCAACGAUGCAUAGCCGACCUGAGAGGGUGAUCGGCCACACUGGAACUGAGACACGGUCCAGACGCCUACGGGAGGCAGCAGUAGGGAAUCUUCCGCAAUGGGCGAAAGCCUGACGGAGCAACGCCGCGUGAGUGAUGAAGGUCUUCGGAUCGUAAAACUCUGUUAUUAGGGAAGAACAUAUGUGUAAGUAACUGUGCACAUCUUGACGGUACCUAAUCAGAAAGCCACGGCUAGCUACGUG